UCUACGGCCAGUACCACCCUGAACGCGUCCGAUCUCGUCUGAUCUCGGAAGCUAAGCAGGGUCGGGCCUGGUCAGUACUUGGAUGGGAGAAUGAAUUUUGAUUUUUUUAUUUUAAUCAACGUGGGUCUUAUAG
Molecule: ribosomal RNA, 133 nt
Filed under: Castor canadensis (American beaver)
Lineage: Eukaryota; Metazoa; Chordata; Mammalia; Rodentia; Castoridae
Source: RNAcentral